UUCAUCUGGAACAAUUAAAAUGUCUGUGUUAGAAUUCACCGAAAGCAAAGAUCACAAAGACCGCGUUUCACAUGUUAAACGUUGAUGGUUUAUUUUAUCACCACAUUGUUUCAGUUUACCAUGUCGCAUUGUUUAAACAAUCGUACGUUCAGGCAUUUACCCAUGAGCGGGAAGAUUGUUUGUCGUCUGAAGAAAUACAAACAAUUACACACGAAGUACUUGCAAUAUAAAAAGAUAAGCAUUAGAGUUGAAAGGCAAUGCGUUAUCUACUUUGGAAAUUUUUGUCACGCCAAGUUACAUCAAGCCAUAAAGAUAAAUAAAGACGAUUAGGAUAUAAUUAUUUUAAUAUAAAAAUGAUGCAGUCUUCACCGCGAGUACUAACAUCCGGCAGCGGUGGCUAAACUAUCGUAAUGCGCAAGGGAUUCUGAUGAUUUCACACAAUUAAUGAUCGCUGCAUUAAACCAAGUGUAUUAUUACUACAUAUCUCUAAAAGCACAGAUACUGUUAUUUCGCGCAUCUGGAAGUUAUAAAUCUUAGACGGUUAAUUAGCAAUAAAUCCAGUCGAUUUGUACUCGAACUAUAAACGGACACAUAAUGCAGGUAAAAUGAACACAUGUAAUCGUACUUUUAAUUGCUCCUGAUCAUGUGAAUAAUAAUGAUAAAAACCUUCGGUUGUAAGUUUUAUCGUACAACAAUGUUGAAUAAAUAUAACGUUCCAGUGAACACGAAAAUAUUCCCAGGGUAUAUUCUAAAAUCAAUAAUAUUUGUCUGGCUGCCCUUGGAAUGCUGGAACACCGCCUCCCAUCCCACACCAAUAUGCAUGACAUUGUACACGCGCAUUGUAGCGCAUAUAGUUUUAACCGAUGCAGCAACCUUUUACGUGUUUCAACAAGUUUUCUCUCCGAUCCAUCCAUUGAUCUGCCAGCAAAUUAAUUCUGGUUGUAGGCAUUCAUCAGUACACGAAUGGAACAACAGCGAAAACGUACAGUAUAUAUUUGCUCGUAUCAGAUGUGCAUAAAUGCAUUGAUUUAUUUGUGCAAUGUCAGCUUGAGCUGAUGCGGAAAGCUCAAGUUUACAAAAUCAUAAGCGCACACCGCAUCAUCCAAUCCGUAGACGUAUAAUUAUAAGCUUUAAAUGUUAAUGGAAAUGCCAUAGCCAUAACAUCUAGAAACGAUGAACUUGCCUAGUGCAAUGAUUGUGCAUUUUGUAUGUACAGAUAUUUCCUUGUGAACGUUGAAAUGUUCAUUGUGCAAAUAAUACUGCUACAACUCUAACUGUAACUAAAGAAUAAAACAUAUAGGAAAUACUAGCAAAAGAAAUGUAUAAGUGUAAUUUAAAAAGAUACGAUUUAUAGGCACGAUAACAAGGCACUAAUAUUAAUCAACCAAAUGUUGAUCACAUUAUUCAUUUCUUGGAAUGAAACACACCUUCCUCUAAAAACAAGUCAAUUUCCGGCCGAGAAGCCGUUGCAAAUCAACUGUUACAUAUAAAAUCUCGCUCCGGAUGUGGAUGUGGUGAUUUUAAGACACUGUGAAUAAUUUAAAAUAAUAGAGCUACACAACGAAAAAGAUUUCCAUCUCUUGACAUUCAAUGGGAAUGUAUAGCAAGGACGCGGAUAUAUUUUUAACAAUAUCAUUAAUCAUGUAUAAGGCUGAAUACAUAAAAUUUACUAUUAGUAAAAUUAAAGUUUACGUCGGUGUAA
Molecule: long non-coding RNA, 1702 nt
Organism: Dalotia coriaria
Lineage: Eukaryota; Metazoa; Arthropoda; Insecta; Coleoptera; Staphylinidae
Exons: 2
Source: RefSeq, a predicted model, not a curated record